GGGGGGGGGUAACUCCCUGCAGAGUGGCGAACGGGUGAGUAAGACGUGGGUGAUCUGUCCCGGUCACGGGGAUGGCCUGUGGAAACAUGGGGUAAUACCGGAUAAGCUCUGCGGGGUAAAGGCCGCGGAGGAAAGGCGCGUAUGCGCCGGAGAGGGAUGAGCCUGCGGUCCAUUAGCUUGUUGGCAGGGUAAGAGCCUACCAAGGCGACGAUGGAUAGCCGGCCUGAGAGGGCGAACGGCCACACUGGGACUGAGAUACGGCCCAGACUCCUACGGGAGGCAGCAGCUAAGAAUCUUCCGCAAUGGGCGAAAGCCUGACGGAGCGACGCCGCGUGGACGAAGAAGGCCGAAAGGUUGUAAAGUUCUUUUCUUUGCGAAGAAUAAGGGGAGGAGGGAAUGCCUUUCUGAUGACGUUAGCGAAGGAAUAAGCCCCGGCUAAUUACGUGCCAGCAGCCGCGGUAAUACGUAAGGGGCGAGCGUUGUUCGGAAUUAUUGGGUGUAAAGGGCGCGCAGGCGGCUCUGAAAGUCCGGUGUGAAAGGCCGCAGCUUAACUGCGGUUGUGCGCUGGAAACUACAGGGCUUGAGUGCAGGAGGGGGAGCUGGAAUUCCAGGUGUAGGGGUGAAAUCUGUAGAUAUCUGGAAGAACACCGGUGGCGAAGGCGAGCUCCUUGCCAUGGACUGACGC
Molecule: ribosomal RNA, 685 nt
Filed under: uncultured spirochete
Lineage: Bacteria; Pseudomonadati; Spirochaetota; Spirochaetia; Spirochaetales
Description: bacterial SSU rRNA
Rfam family: Bacterial small subunit ribosomal RNA
Source: RNAcentral